GCAGCAUUCCCAGGCAGUCCUAAGUGUCCUACAGAAAAACCCUGGGUUGGACAUAAAGGGGGUCUGG
This is a regulatory RNA element of Felis catus (domestic cat), 67 nucleotides long. It matches the Rfam family "MAT2A 3'UTR stem loop E". NCBI's taxonomy places the organism in Eukaryota, Metazoa, Chordata, Mammalia, Carnivora, Felidae. The record is from Rfam.